AGCACUCCGACAGCCCUUGGGCCUCUCCUGUAGUCCUGGUGCCCAAGAAAGAUGGGACCACCCGGUUCUGUGUGGACUACAGGCGACUCAACGAGCGGACCACCACUGACGCCUACCCAAUGCCCCGGGUAGACGAAUUACUGGAUCGUAUUGCCAGGGGACGAUAUCUGACCACCAUAGACCUGUGUAAGGGCUACUGGCAGAUCCCCCUGGCCGAGGAUGCUAUCCCCAAGUCGGUAUUUGUCAC
This is a non-coding RNA of Pelobates cultripes (western spadefoot toad), 247 nucleotides long. The record is from the annotation of a GenBank genome assembly. Lineage: Eukaryota; Metazoa; Chordata; Amphibia; Anura; Pelobatidae.